This is a long non-coding RNA of Lolium rigidum, 715 nucleotides long. RefSeq lists it as uncharacterized. The transcript has 4 exons. The record is from RefSeq and is a predicted model, not a curated record. NCBI's taxonomy places the organism in Eukaryota, Viridiplantae, Streptophyta, Magnoliopsida, Poales, Poaceae.
AAUUUACACGACGCAUACAUUCUCUGCUUGGUAUAUUUAAUCCUUUCUGGCCGGCCAUGAUGGACCCACACGGUGAUGGAGGGGAGGCCAUGGGCUAGCGGUUGAGCGGGCCCACGAGAAGCUGCAGGGCGACGGAAGGGCAGCGGCCGAGGAUGGAAGCAGCGUGGGAGAUGGAGAAUUUACUCCACACCUUCGUUUCGUCCGCAUCGAGCUGUCCCGCAAAGGAUUUAUAUUUUUAAAUGGAGGGAGGGAAUAGCAAUCAAAUUUCACACAACUCAGCUAUGUCUAGAUGAUAGAUGCAAGUGGCCUCUUCUUGAUGUGGCUGAACAUGCUGAUGCGCUCCUAGAUGGUGUGCCUUAUACCUAGGAUCUUAUGUGAUGUGUGUCACAGCCUGUCAAAGAUGUGGCAGCCUGGCAGGUGCAGCUGACAAGAAAAACAACCCUUAGACUGUACAAAUUCCAGCUUCACAUUAGGUAUACAUGCUGAAUUUGAGUCUAUGAUAAAUUGUCGUUGAGUCUGUAUUGUCUACCAUCUGAUUGUUCGAAGUUGCGAUUUGGCAUUGAUUGUUGUGUGAUUUAGUUUUCAUGAAUGUUGCUUCCAGGUGCCACAAACCAUUGAUAUUUGUUUGCUUCAUGUUAUCUACGUAUCUGAGGAUUGUGUUCCUCACUUUUGUUGUGGUACAUAUAAAUCAAGCGUAUGAUGCAAUGGUUGUAUA